Acinonyx jubatus (cheetah) is the source of this 3028-nucleotide long non-coding RNA. RefSeq lists it as uncharacterized. The transcript has 7 exons. NCBI's taxonomy places the organism in Eukaryota, Metazoa, Chordata, Mammalia, Carnivora, Felidae. The record is from RefSeq and is a predicted model, not a curated record.
GUGAGGUAAAAAGAAAUCUCAGUGUCUUUUGAUUCAAGGAGGAGAAGGACACCCUAUAAAUGUCACUCAUUAGAGAGCCCCAGAAAUGGAUCAUUUCAAAUACAUCACCAAACGGCCUGCAGGAUGCAAUGUCCUGGAAGCCUCAUUUCUCUCGGAGCCACUGUGAACAAGGAAGCCAUGUAGCAUGAGAUCAGAGACACGGGAGCAAGCAGGCAUCACGAGCUGCCCAUUCAUCUGGAGUGUGUGCAAGCUGCCUUCCAGCUGAUCUCUUCCCCAAUUUCCCUGCAUGGCAGCCAGAAUAGAAGGCAGACGGGUGUCCCAGCACCCACAAGGAUGCUAACAAGUCGCCUUGAGUGCCUGGGAUGGAGGAAAUGAUUGUGCGAUCCGGCAAGGCACCCUCCCAAAUUUGCACAUAUCAUCAUUGGCUGGAAGGACUCUGGAAUUUGGACUCAGGAGCCUCGCCACAGAGUCCUUCCUUGUGCUAAUACAGAGAUCCAGUGGGCCCGGGCCUCCAUCCCAAAGCAUGGAGUGGGUGGAGAAGGUGGGUGGCUCAGAUGAAGUGGCCUCCUUUCUCGGCCUCAUCUGGUUCUGUGAAGUUGCUGCUGCCUGCUGUGUGCAAUGGUGAUGAGGACUGAGGCUGAUGUUGCAUCACCGGAUAGCACACGAGAUGUCCUUUGGGUAUCCUGCCCAACUUCCUAGGUUUGUUUUCUUUACAGCAAAGCACACCCCCUUUCUGCGAACUGGCCCUGGGGAGAGAGCAAGUGGUCUGGCUUUGUGAGGAAUACAAGGGAAAUGGGGAAAGAAAAGAAUCAGCCAACAAAAGAAAUUAUUUCCUGGAGGUAUGCAAAAUGAGAAGACACGCCAUCAAUCUACGUAAUUCUUUGUUUUGAUGUGUGAUUGUAGACGGGGCUACAAAGGAGAGCUUCCAGGCAUGGAAAAGACAGAAUAGGAGAAUGACAAUAAGUUGAAGUUUUCAUGAAAAAAAAAGAAAGAAAAAAGGGGUUUACCUUCAGGAAUCUUGGAUGAUAAAGGUAAAAGGGAAAACAUUUGUACCCUGCAAGGAUUUGUAUCCCCAUGAGAAUCAGAGGACAGCGCAUUAGCCUGGCACAUUCCCAGAGGGCCACCAUGUCCCCUUUUCCUGAACCAUAGUAAGCUCUGCUCUGGGGAGUAAUUCACAUCGUUGCCCUUCCUUAUGGAGCUAGUGACUCGGAGACAUUGCUUGCCGAGAGGAAUUAUUAAACAUAGCUCUGCUCAAAUUCUGGGAAAGCAGAAGCAAAGUGAGACUUGAAUGACACCAGCAGCCUUUUCCAGGGAGGGACGGUGACUAGGGCAAUUUUCACCACUCCCCCCCUCCCCCGCCACCUAUGGGCCCCAGUGAGAAAGUAUAGGGAGUCAUCCUGCAUAUAUUUUAACACACCACUUUGCCACAUUUCUCUGUGAUAUGCAAUGCUCUUAAGUAUCUAAGGUUUCCAUCAUGAAGCCCAAACUGUCAUCCCUUUUUUGGUUUUGUAACUCCUUAAACUAAUGUUACAGAGAAGCUUCUAAUGAAUUCAUGGAUUUUUUUAAAAAUGUUUAUUUAUUUAUUUUUGAGAGGUGAGGAGGGGCAGAGAGAGGGAGAGAGAGAAUUCCAAGUAGGCUCUGUGCUGCCAGCAUGGAGUCCGAUGUGGGGCUCCAAUCCAUGAACCGUGAGAUCAUGACUUGAGCUGAAAUCGAGAGUUGGGUGCUGAACUGACUGGGCCACCCAGGUGCUCCUAAUGAAUCAUGAUUAAGGUCUCUUUUCUUUGAGGGCAAAGUGGGUUUAAUCUGGUGUUGCUUCUCUUUGAAUUAAUCAUCUUCAAACACAGUUGGUCUCCCAGCUUCCAUCCUUCUUUGGAAUAUUUAUUGCCCAACCCACAGAAAACUAGUGAUGAAGGAAGUUCCCCCACAGAUUCUAGGAGCACAGAGCAAUAUUUGGAGGAAUGAGACUUCCCAACUCCUACUUUAGCCAAGAGCUACUCAAGCCUCUGUGUCAUCACCCAACAAGAUUUUUGUUGCAACAGAUGGAAAUGUAAUCAGACCUAGCAUUGGUCACACCAUGGAUCACAGGCCUUUUCCAGAGUUUUUGGUCAUUCCCUUAAAAUUAGAGUUGUGGAAAUCACACCUUUGUUAUCCCUGCCCAAUGGUAUGUUCUGAGUUGCAGUUUCUGCUGUGCCCUGUUCUAAGGAGAGCAUGCACCAGCCACAAGGACAGGGGAGAAAGAGCUAUUUGUUGAGUACAUUAUUGCUAGUAUUAUUACAUCUCACUAUAUAUAAAAUGAACAGCUAACAUCAUUUUUGAAGUUUAUUUGCCCUAGGCACUGUGCUAGUGGCUUUUAUUACACACUUGAACUUAUUUAAUCCUUGUAGAGGAUUUUGAUGAAACCCUGUAAGAAAGGCAGAGGUAAUUUUAUUAUUCCUACUUUUAUAAACAAGGAAAAUUAUUUUUAAAGUAUUUAAGAAACUUACACAAGCUUCCUCAGGUAUUAUGUGGUGGAUCCAGUGUAACCCAUGCUUUCUGUAUCCAAGCUUAUAAUCACUAUAAGUCUUGGUUCAUUCAACCAAGCAGAAGCCACUCUAGGUCAUUUGAGCAGGAAGAGAUUUACUACAGGGAAUUAGAGACUUAUAAAAUUUGGAAAGCAAAGGUCAGGAAGGCCACUCCUGAUUUUCAGAAAAUCUAGAUGGGCCAGAAUUGCAGGAAUUGCUCAUGAUUUCAGCUUCCUAUAGCACAAAAUGGUUGAUUCUUAGGAGGAUGCCUGAAGCUGCCAGCCCAACUCUGGCACUGGCUAAUGCCAGUGCACUAGCCAUUGCCCGAGAAUGUUUUCUCUUCUCUUUCACUCACUAAAUCUCAUAGGUGUGACUCUCACCCACAGAAUCUAAUCUGGGACACUGCAAAACAAAGAAUUCUGAAGCCUAUAGUUCCCAGCUUUCUCUCCUACGAUGGUGGAGAGAGUGUAGAAGGAACUGGGGAUGGUACUGGGUUGGCUACAAUCUGUUCUUAUCACUGCUUUCUA